RNAcentral lists this long non-coding RNA (269 nucleotides) under Mus caroli (Ryukyu mouse). RNAcentral describes it as "lncRNA (MGP_CAROLIEiJ_G0004779.1)". Lineage: Eukaryota; Metazoa; Chordata; Mammalia; Rodentia; Muridae. The record is from RNAcentral.
GGGAAGGAAACUUCAUAUUAAAAGCCCUGUAUAAAAUGCACUCUUUACUGCAUUGAGUUUUCGUGGCUGCCUGUUAGUUUGUGUGUCUAAACGGAACAUCUGCAUGGAAGUGACUUCUAGGAACCUGCCCCCAUGACCCUGCAAACUGUACCUCUGCCGCCAUUUUCUGGGGACCCCGGAGUGGUUCUGGGCAAAAUCCUUCAUCCUGGCUGAAUGAAAAAGAAAAAGAAAACAAGACUGGUCCUGGUUUUUGGCACCAUGUGUAUGAG